AACGCAAGGGUGAGGGAGGCACACGCAAAAAAGUUUAGUUUAGCUUAACACACAACAGCGAGCGAGCGAGUCCCCACAGACGUUCCUUCCUCUCCAAUCAAUUAAUCCAACAAUCUAAAUCGUUUCAAAACCCUAGCUAGGGUUCCAUCCAGCGAUCCAAUCAACCAUGGCGGACGAAGCUUCUUCUUCUCCUCCUCCAUCAUCAUCAUCAUCAUCAUCAUCUGCUGCUGCUGCUGCUGCUGCUGCUCCUCUUGGUUCGACCGUGAUCUCCUUAGUGAACAGGCUUCAGGACAUCUUCUCCCGCGUUGGAAGCCAAUCCACCAUCGACCUUCCUCAAGUCGCCGUUGUCGGCAGCCAGAGCAGCGGCAAGUCCAGCGUCCUCGAAGCCCUCGUUGGCCGCGACUUCCUCCCCCGCGGCAACGACAUCUGCACUCGCAGACCCCUCGUCCUUCAGCUCGUUCAGACUAAGCGUAAGCCCGAUGCCCCCGACGACGAGUACGGCGAGUUCCUUCAUCUCCCUGGCAAGAGGUUCCACGAUUUCUCCGAGAUUCGCCGCGAAAUUCAGGCUGAAACUGACAGGGAAGCAGGAGGGAACAAAGGUGUCUCAGAUAAGCAAAUUCGAUUAAAGAUUUUUUCGCCAAAUGUUCUUGAUAUCACACUUGUAGAUCUCCCAGGCAUUACAAAGGUUCCUGUUGGUGACCAGCCUUCUGAUAUUGAAGCUCGAAUCAGAACAAUGAUCAUGUCAUAUAUCAAAACUCCUACCUGUCUCAUUCUAGCUGUUACCCCAGCAAAUUCAGAUUUAGCUAAUUCAGAUGCUCUUCAGAUGGCAGGAAUUGCUGAUCCUGAUGGUAAUAGAACAAUUGGUGUAAUCACAAAGUUGGAUAUCAUGGACAGAGGUACUGAUGCCCGGAAUCUGUUACUAGGAAAAGUGAUUCCCCUUCGACUUGGUUAUGUAGGCGUUGUAAAUCGUAGUCAGGAGGAUAUUCUAAUGAACCGGAGUAUAAAGGAUGCUCUUGUUGCUGAAGAGAAAUUUUUUCGCAGUCGUCCUGUUUACAGUGGUCUAGCAGAUAGUUGUGGUGUUCCUCAACUAGCAAAGAAGUUGAACCAGAUUCUAGCACAACAUAUCAAGGCUGUGCUACCUGGGCUGAGAGCACGUAUAAGCACUUCACUUGUUGCUGUUGCCAAGGAGCAUGCAAGCUAUGGAGAAAUCACCGAGUCCAAGGGUGCACUUCUCCUGAAUAUUCUUUCAAAAUAUUGUGAAGCAUUCUCCUCCAUGGUUGAGGGAAAGAAUGAGGAGAUGUCUACAUCUGAGCUAUCUGGUGGAGCACGGAUUCAUUACAUUUUUCAAUCUAUCUUUGUCAGAAGUUUAGAGGAGGUGGAUCCGUGUGAAGACCUGACUGAUGAUGACAUUCGCACUGCCAUACAGAAUGCAACUGGGCCUAAAUCAGCAUUGUUUGUUCCAGAAGUUCCAUUUGAAGUUCUUGUGAGAAGGCAAAUAUCCCGCCUAUUGGAUCCAAGUCUUCAGUGUGCCAGAUUUAUAUAUGAUGAAUUAAUAAAGAUCAGCCAUCGCUGUAUGGUCACUGAACUGCAGCGAUUCCCAUUCUUGCGGAAGCGCAUGGAUGAAGUUAUAGGGAACUUUUUACGAGAAGGUCUUGAACCCUCAGAGAACAUGAUUGCACACAUAAUAGAAAUGGAGAUGGACUACAUCAACACUUCCCACCCAAAUUUUAUUGGUGGAAGCAAGGCGUUAGAAGCUGCAGUGCAGCAGACUAAGUCAUCUAGGGUUGUUAUACCUGUUUCUAGGCAGAAGGAUGCUCUGGAAUCUGAUAAAGGAUCAGCCUCUGAAAGAAGUGUGAAGCCUUGGGGUAUCCUUGGAAGACAAGCUAAUGGAGCAGUUACUGAUCCGGGUGUCCGUGCUGCUUCAGAUGUUGAAAAAAUUUUACCCUCUGGAAACACUGGUGGAUCAAGUUGGGGUAUCUCAUCCAUUUUUGGUGGAGGUGAUAGCCGAAUUUCUGUGAAAGAGAAUAUAGCUAGUAAACCACAUCCUGAACCAGUUCACAGCAUGGAGCAAUCAUUCUCUAUGAUCCAUUUGAGAGAGCCACCUCCUAUCUUGAGGCCAUCUGAGAGCAAUUCAGAGACAGAAGCUAUUGCAAUAACAGUAACAAACUUGCUUUUGAGAUCAUACUAUGACAUUGUCAGAAAAAAUGUUGAGGAUCUUGUCCCCAAAGCAAUUAUGCACUUCUUGGUAAACAACACUAAGAGAGAGCUACACAACGUCUUCAUCAAAAAGCUAUACAGAGACAACCUGUUCGAAGAGAUGUUGCAAGAACCUGAUGAGGUAGCUAUGAAAAGAAAGCGCUGUCGAGAACUUCUCCGAGCUUAUCAGCAGGCUUUUAAGGACUUGGAGGAAUUGCCUCUGGAAGCGGAAACAGUUGAAAGAGGAUACAGUUUGCCUGAAACAACUGGUUUGCCUAAAAUUCAUGGAUUACCAACGUCAUCGAUGUACUCAACAGGCAGUUCUGGAGACUACUAUGCAGCUUCUCCGAAGUACAGUAAGUCAAAAAGGUCUUCUCAUUCUGGGGAGCUUCAAUCUCCAUUGCAUGUUAAUGCAGAUUCCAAUGGAAGUGGAAGGCCAUUCAUGUCAGGUUUCUAUCCCACAAUUGAUGCAUGAGCUAUAGCUGAAUGAGGUCGUUGGUAGUUUAACUCGAGGCAUUUUAUUCAUUUGAUUACACUGCAACUUUCGGGAAUUGGAAUUCUACCACCCGGGAGCUGGACUGCAUGGAAUUACUGUUUAUCUAACUAAAUGGUCUUGAAUGUAGGCCACUGCUUUCUUUACAUUAGUACACUUUUUGUUCUCAUACAGCAUUGCCAUUAUUUACUAGUCUCCGGAGAAAGAAUAAUAGGAGCAGUUGCAGAUUGUUGUUUUGGCAGAAAUGGCUGACUUUGCAAACAAUAUUGCUUUUCAAUUUUAGAUAUGAUGUAGGGAUUUCCUAUGUGAUCGUUAUUGCAAUUGUUUUAAAGAAUUUUACAUUUAUUGUGUUUCUUCGGUUUUAAUCCCGUGAAAUAGCCACUAAAGUUUUUAUGUGAUGAUACACCUGGUUGAGUUGCGUCUCAGUUGUUAGAUUUACAUUACGAGUUGCUGUGAUUUAGGAUUUUUUUAUUUUUUUUUAGACUACAGGUAUCUUUGAAGAGAAUCUUAUUAGACAUGAUAUUAACACCGUAAAUGGAAAAAGUUUCCCCAUAAAUAUUGAAUUGAAUUGCGUUUCUCGAUAAUAUUAUUAAUUUUUACAAUUUUAUUUUAACACUUCAUUAGAUAAAAUUCAUGUGAAUUUUACAAAGCUCUUGUCUAGAUAAUUUUUUAUAAUAAAUAUUCAUUAAUUUAUUUCUAUUAUGACUUUCAUUUAAAAUUUUAAUAGAUUAAAUGAAUUAGAACAUGUAGAGCUUGGAAUGUUUUGUCAAAUUAAAAACAUCAAACUUACACAUUUUGAUACUUACUAAUUGUUGGUUUAUUGUUACAACUUUAGAGACUUUGUAACUAGAUUGACUUUAGUAGUAUGUGAAAUAAUUGUGGGAAUUUGAACUUAUUUUUAAUAUUUUAUAGUUUCUCUUAACAAUUUGAAAUUGCCACAAUAUUAAAAGUCUAAUAAUUUUGAAAACUAAAUUUAAUAGCUGUUUGGCAAGACAAUUGUCCAAGUCUUAGCUAUUUCUCCACCUUUGUCCUCCGGCCUCUUCCACCUCUUCUCAUUUACGAUUAGAAUCUUUUUGUGUUUUUUUUGAACGAAUUUUUUUCUAUGCAAAAAUAGAACAUCUUGUACAAGUCAUUGCUAAAGAUUUUUUCAUAUACUUUAUCAUUCUUCAAGGAUCCUUUCAUCCAUUAUGUUAGAUAUCAAGAAAAAUCAAUUUUGGUUUCAAGGAAUACACCUCUUUUGAUGAAUAAAUGGAAAUACUAUUUUAUCCAUGAAAGAACAAAAAAAUGAUAUGAUUCAAUCUCAAACCUAUUUGAAUGUAGCUGAUAACAGCGGAGCCCGCGAAUUGAUGUGUAUUCGAAUCCUAGGAGCUAGUAAUCGAUGAUAUGCUUAUAUUGGUGACAUUGUUGUUACUGUAAUCAAGGAAGCAGUACCAAAUAUGACCUUAGAAAGAUCAAAAGUGAUCAGAGCUGUAAUUGUACGUACUUGUAAAGAACUCAAAUGUAGCAACGGUAUACUAAUUCAGUAUGAUGAUAAUGCUGCAGUUGUCAUUGAUCAAGAAGGAAAUCCAAAAGGAACUCGAAUCUUUUGUGCAAUCGCACGGGAAUUGAGACAAUUAAAUUUCACUAAAAUAGUUUCAUUAGCACCCGAGGUAUUAUAAAAUUAUAAGGCAAAACCGUGAUAUGGAUAUAUUUGUUUUGUAAUGAAAAUGGAUUAAUUAAUAUAUUAUAUCUCACACAUAUCCCUUGCUAUUCAGUAAUUUCAUUUAAUUAUAACUUUGUUUUAUCUGACCUCAAUAUCAGUGUCUUUUUAUGGAUUACUAUUUCAAGUAUUGCUCCCAUUGAACUUCUUAUGUCAGGAUAUGGGUCAAAUAAUAAAUAUUCCUUUUUGGGUGGUCUACGAGCUGCUGCUCAAUCGAUUAGUUAUGAAAUACCAUUAACUCUAUGUGUGUUAUCAAUAUCUCUACGUGCGAUUCGUUGAGACAGAAGCUUUUCGAUACUAUUGCUAUACUCCCCCCUUUCUUUAUAGUGCUUUCUAGUAAAGAAGGAUAAUAAAUUGAAUAUAUAUCCUUAUCAUUAUUCUUUUUCGAAAUUCGGAUUGAAGAAUUUAAUCAGAUAGUUAUAUUAGUGAAAUAAAACAGCUUCUAUUGAAUAAAUUAAUAUCUCUUUUUGUCUAACUCACUUCCUUUUUUCUUUGUGAGUUUCGGGAGUAUCCCCAUUCAUAGGUCCGAGAUCCACAUCUAUGAGUUGAAAGGUCCGAAUGAUCCACUCUGUAAUCAGUUGUUAGAAUCAAUAGGUCUUCAAAUCUUUCAUUUGAAAAAAAGGAAACCCUUAUUAUUGGAUGACCAUAAUACUUUCCAAAAAUCGAAAUUCUUGAUCAAUGGAGGAACAAUAUCACCAUUUUUGUUCAAUAAGAUACCAAAGUGAAUGAUUAACUCAUUCCAUACUAGAAAGAAUUGCAGGAAAUCUUUUGAUAAUACGGAUUCCUAUUUCUCAACGAUAUCCCACGAUCAAGACAAGUGUAGCUUCUUUUCUGCAAAAUAGUGACUCCUCUCAUUAAUCAAAUACCUCUAAAACUUCAAUUAAUUCAAUUUUCACUCUCGAAUCUAUCAAAUACACACUCUAAACAUUGAAUCUCAAUUCAAGUAUCCCAAUUGUGCCUCAGAAAUCAGAUUCAGCAGAAUAUUCACAUACAUUAUGCAGAAACUUCCAGAAAUUGGUAAAAUCUGGUUAUGCAGAAUCUUAAACUCUUAACUACACAUUCACCUCAUCAAUUCUCAAUUUAAGCAUCCAAAUGCACCUCAGAAAAUCAGAUUCAGCAGUAUUUAUGCAGAGUUUUUAUAGAAUAACAGAAAUUUACAGAACAUUAAUAUGCAGAAUUCUAAAAAUACUAUAGAAAGCUUAAACUGGGUUAGAAAUAUGAGUUGCCUCUCACAAAGCGCUUCUUUAAUGUCACUAGCUUGACAUUAGUUGUUCCUCACUCAAGAUGAACCAUUUCAAGCAUGAUAUGUUUCUUGCAAACUCUUCUCCAUGAUAGAUCUUCAAUCUUUGGCCAUUGACCUUGAAUUCCCUCCCUGUUUUCUGAUCUUCUAUAAGAAUGGCUCCAAAGGGAGAGGUCUCCUUUAUUAAAAAUGGUCCAGACCAUCUAGAUUUUAAUUUCUCUGGAAACAAUUUUAAUCUUGAAUUGAAUAGCAGCACUUGCUGGCCAGGUCUGAAAUCUUUUUGCAGAAUGAACUUGUCAUGGAUUCUCUUAGUUCUUUCUUUGUACAACUUUGCAUUCUCAUAAGCUUGUUGUCUGAAUUCCUCUAAUUCAUGCAACUGCAGAAUUCUCUUCCUUCCAGCACUUGACAGAUCAAAGUUAAGCCAUUUUGUAGUCCAAUAUGCUCUAUGUUCCAGCUCUAGAGGUAGGUGACAGGCCUUUCCAAAUACUAACUGAUAUGGAGACAUACCAAUUGGAGUUUUAAAAGCAGUUCUAUAUGCCCACAAUGAAUCAUCCAGCCUCUUUGACCAAUCCUUCCUUGAGCUGUUCACUACUUUCUCUAGAAUUUGCUUGAUUUCUCACCAAGAUUAUAGUUUUCUUAGGGAUAAGGAACUUUGAUCUUGCAAUCUUUUGGUUUAUUAUACUUAAAACAAUGUUGAAUUAAAUCAUAUCUAAGGAAUUAGAAUGUUUUAAUUGAAUGUUAGGUUCACUGAGUUAAGGAAUUAACCUCUGAACAAUAGAACAUGAAACUGAUUGUCUUUCUUUCCAAAUGCUUGUUAAUUCAGAACUUUAUUGAUUAAACAUUGGAGUUUUGGUGAAGCAAUUCCCU
RNA transcript from Abrus precatorius (Indian licorice), 6495 nucleotides. It is a transcript of the gene named dynamin-related protein 3A-like, with no coding region annotated. NCBI's taxonomy places the organism in Eukaryota, Viridiplantae, Streptophyta, Magnoliopsida, Fabales, Fabaceae. The transcript is spliced from 21 exons. The record is from RefSeq and is a predicted model, not a curated record.